UCCCUGGUAGCUCAGCGGUUAAAGCAUCUGCCUGCAAUGCUGGAGACCCAGGUUUGAUCCCUGGGUUGGGAA
Molecule: transfer RNA, 72 nt
Filed under: Bos taurus (domestic cattle)
Lineage: Eukaryota; Metazoa; Chordata; Mammalia; Artiodactyla; Bovidae
Also listed under: 1 other name
Rfam family: tRNA
About the family: Transfer RNA (tRNA) molecules are approximately 80 nucleotides in length.
Source: Rfam by way of RNAcentral